RNAcentral lists this ribosomal RNA (695 nucleotides) under Actinoptera discoidea. RNAcentral's name for it is "partial large subunit ribosomal RNA". It matches the Rfam family "Eukaryotic large subunit ribosomal RNA", at positions 943 to 1588 of the family's 3401-position model. Lineage: Eukaryota; Metazoa; Arthropoda; Insecta; Diptera; Tephritidae. The record is from RNAcentral.
UCUAGUAGCUGGUUCCCUCCGAAGUUUCCCUCAGGAUAGCUGGUGCAUUAUAAUAUUAUGUUAAAUAAUCUUAUCUGGUAAAGCGAAUGAUUAGAGGCCUUAGGGUCGAAACGACCUUAACCUAUUCUCAAACUUUAAAUGGGUAAGAACCUCACCUUUCUUGAUAUGAAGGUCGAGGUUAUGAUAUAAUGUGCCCAGUGGGCCACUUUUGGUAAGCAGAACUGGCGCUGUGGGAUGAACCAAACGUAAUGUUACGGUGCCUAAAUUAACAACUCAUGCAGAAACCAUGAAAGGCGUUGGUUGCUUAAAACAGCAGGACGGUGGACAUGGAAGUCGUAAUCCGCUAAGGAGUGUGUAACAACUCACCUGCCGAAGCAACUAGCCCUUAAAAUGGAUGGCGCUUAAGUUGUAUACCUAUACAUUACCGCUAAAGUAGAUGAUUUAUAAUACAAUUUCGAUUGAAUUAAUAAAUUUUGAAACUUUAGUGAGUAGGAGGGUACAAUGGUGUGCUUAGAAGUGUUUGGCGUAAGCCUGCAUGGAGCCGCUAUUGGUACAGAUCUUGGUGGUAGUAGCAAAUAAUCGAAUGAGACCUUGGAGGACUGAAGUGGAGAAGGGUUUCGUGUGAACAGUGGUUGAUCACGAGUUAGUCGGUCCUAAGUUCAAGGCGAAAGCCGAAAAUUUUCAAGUUUUAAUGC